GUUUGCACUUGUCGGGGAAGGGUGAGAACCUUCGAUUAAGGUUCGACUCGAGCGAAAGAACGUUGCCAACGGUAACGGCCCGUAGGGUGAGGAGUGAAG
This 99-nucleotide small RNA is filed under the name Salmonella enterica. RNAcentral's name for it is "partial RtT sRNA". It matches the Rfam family "RtT RNA", at positions 1 to 103 of the family's 130-position model. From Rfam's summary of the family: This family represents a bacterial cis-regulatory element known as RtT RNA. The exact function of RtT is unknown although it is thought that it may be involved in changing the cellular response in relation to amino acid starvation. The record is from RNAcentral. Lineage: Bacteria; Pseudomonadati; Pseudomonadota; Gammaproteobacteria; Enterobacterales; Enterobacteriaceae. RNAcentral also lists the same sequence under 2 other names.